This 497-nucleotide ribosomal RNA is filed under the name uncultured bacterium. RNAcentral's name for it is "partial 16S ribosomal RNA". It matches the Rfam family "Bacterial small subunit ribosomal RNA", at positions 28 to 507 of the family's 1533-position model. The record is from RNAcentral.
GACGAACGCUGGCGGCGUGCCUAAUACAUGCAAGUAGAACGCUGAAGAGAGGAGCUUGCUCUUCUUGGAUGAGUUGCGAACGGGUGAGUAACGCGUAGGUAACCUGCCUGGUAGCGGGGGAUAACUAUUGGAAACGAUAGCUAAUACCGCAUAAAAUGGAUUAUCGCAUGAUAAUCCAUUGAAAGGUGCAAAUGCAUCACUACCAGAUGGACCUGCGUUGUAUUAGCUAGUUGGUGGGGUAACGGCUCACCAAGGCGACGAUACAUAGCCGACCUGAGAGGGUGAUCGGCCACACUGGGACUGAGACACGGCCCAGACUCCUACGGGAGGCAGCAGUAGGGAAUCUUCGGCAAUGGACGGAAGUCUGACCGAGCAACGCCGCGUGAGUGAAGAAGGUUUUCGGAUCGUAAAGCUCUGUUGUAAGAGAAGAACGAGUGUGAGAGUGGAAAGUUCACACUGUGACGGUAUCUUACCAGAAAGGGACGGCUAACUACGUG